Molecule: non-coding RNA, 403 nt
Organism: Labrus bergylta (ballan wrasse)
Lineage: Eukaryota; Metazoa; Chordata; Actinopteri; Labriformes; Labridae
Source: RefSeq, a predicted model, not a curated record
ACUGAACUUAUAUUACAUCAUCUCAUUAGCCCAUGUGUACAUAUGAAGGGAGUUGAUGGGAUAUUAAUUUUGACUUCUUUUGGCCACAGAUGGCAACAAAACAAAAAAAGCACAAGGCUAUGGGUGAUGAGGAGUGGAUGUCACGCCUGCGGAGAUUCGCUGCUUCAGGGGUUUGGCCCUCUGAUGCAGGAGUGGAAUGACCUCUAUCUGAAGAUUGACAAAUGCCCGAUGCAACGGAGGGGACAGGCAUCUCUGUUUGGGGGGCCACAGACAUGUGGCUGUGGUUUCCACACUAAGAAGCCUUCCAGCUCAGUCCCUGACACCCCAUUUCCCCGUACCACUGUUGGCACUGGUCAAGGGCAAGGCCCUUCAAGCGCUGCUGCUGCUGCCUCCUCAGCAUCAA